UACGGAGGGUGCAAGCGUUACUCGGAAUCACUGGGCGUAAAGCGCGCGCAGGCGGCUAGAUAAGUUGGAAGUGAAAUCCUAUGGCUCAACCAUAGAACUGCUUCCAAAACUGUUUAGCUAGAGUCUGGGAGGGGAAGAUGGAAUUAGUAGUGUAGGGGUAAAAUCCGUAGAGAUUACUAGGAAUACCAAAAGCGAAGGCGAUCUUCUGGAACAGUACUGACGCUGAGGCGCGAAAGCGUGGGGAGCAAACAGGAUUAGAUACCCUGGUAGCCCACGCCCUAAACGAUGAAUGUUAGUCGUCGGGACUCUAGUAGUUUCGGUGAUGCAGUUAACACAUUAAACAUUCCGCCUGGGGAGUACGGUCGCAAGAUUAAAACUCAAAGGAAUAGACGGGGACCCGCACAAGUGGUGGAGCAUGUGGUUUAAUUCGAAUACGCGAAGAACCUUACCUAGCCUUGACAUAUUUUAGAACUCCGCAGAGAUGUAGAGGUGCCUUCGGGAGCUAAUAUACAGGUGCUGCACGGCUGUCGUCAGCUCGUGUCGUGAGAUGUUGGGUUAAGUCCCGCAACGAGCGCAACCCUCGUUCUUAGUUACUAACGGUUCGGCCGAGGACUCUAAGAAGACUGCCUUCGUAAGGAGGAGGAAGGUGAGGACGACGUCAAGUCAUCAUGGCCCUUACGGCUAGGGCAACACACGUGCUACAAUGGUUAGGACAAUGAGACGCAAUACCGCGAGGUGGAGCAAAUCUAUAAACCUAAUCUCAGUUCGGAUUGUAGUCUGCAACUCGACUACAUGAAGCUGGAAUCACUAGUAAUCGUAGAUCAGCUAUGCUAC
Molecule: ribosomal RNA, 834 nt
Filed under: uncultured Sulfurovum sp.
Lineage: Bacteria; Pseudomonadati; Campylobacterota; Epsilonproteobacteria; Campylobacterales; Sulfurovaceae
Description: bacterial SSU rRNA
Rfam family: Bacterial small subunit ribosomal RNA
Source: RNAcentral